GGUCUUUGAAGCAGUUUCUCCUUGCUUCCCUGUUUCAGUAGCUAUAACAUGAUACUGAUCUUCUGGUUUGUUUGUGUCAUAUGGAUUUCCUGCUGGCACCGUUGGAAAAAUACCGUAAUCUGGCUCUGCUCUGUCUCCUAAUUCUUUUUCUAAGACAUUGUCUGGGCCAUACUUGCAGAUAAAAUUGUGCUUCAUGUUGCAUCUAUCGUCAUUCCACUGAUAAAGAUACGGCCCUCCCAGACCAGGGUUUGCAGUUGGCUGAUGAUACAUAACAACACAGGCUUCACUUCCACAGGAAGGCUCAUCUGUAUACCAAUUUCUGAAGGGUGAAAUACUUCCAUCAGCCCAAUGGUAGAGGUCAGGGCAAGCACUGGAGGUGGCCAGUCCAUCACUACUUCUCCACAACCCAAUCCAG
RNAcentral lists this long non-coding RNA (415 nucleotides) under Gallus gallus (chicken). The record is from RNAcentral. Lineage: Eukaryota; Metazoa; Chordata; Aves; Galliformes; Phasianidae.